RNAcentral lists this ribosomal RNA (2901 nucleotides) under Gastrodia elata f. glauca. RNAcentral's name for it is "bacterial LSU rRNA". The stretch from base 654 to 2889 matches the Rfam family "Bacterial large subunit ribosomal RNA". Lineage: Eukaryota; Viridiplantae; Streptophyta; Magnoliopsida; Asparagales; Orchidaceae. The record is from RNAcentral.
UUUUAAGAAACUAAAAUAGUUAUUUAAUAAAUUAUAAGAAUUAUUUUGAUAGAAUAUAAAUAUAGGAACUAAAUUUAUAAUUCUAUUAAACUUUAGGAAUUAAAAAGAAUUUUUACAGAACAUUAUCGUGUGUGAUCUAAUAUAUUAGUUAGAUUUAGGUUUAGGAUUUAGAAUUUAAGGUUAAAUUUUAUAUUAAUCAUAAAUAUUUUUUUGAUAUACAGGAGACACCUGCUGAAGCAGUAGCAAGGAAGAGGAAAACCAGGCACCUAGAUUAAUUUCGCAAGAAUUUAUUUCAAUUAAAUAAAUUAGUAUCAUUAGUUAUUUGUUGAUUUAAGCUAAUAAUUUAAUCUAAUUAAAUUUUUAUUCUAAUAUUGAUGAUAAAUAUUAGGCUUAAAAAUAAAAUUUAUAAAUUAUAGCCCCUCGAAAUUUAUAGAUAUUAUAUUGUUGAACGAUGUAUUUUUCUUUAUUUUAAAUAAAAUUUUAAUAACUUUUAAGCUCAUUUAUUUUAAGAAUAUAAUAUAAAAUUUUUAACUAAUCAAGAUAUUUAUAUAUUUUUGAUUUGAAAAAAUUUAUCUAAGUCCUGCAUAAUAUAAAACAGCACAGCACGAUGGAUCUAAACAUAGGUGCCUGUUCAUAUUGGAACUUUGAUAGGAGAUGUUUGAAUUCAUGUUUUAUAGCAAGCAACUAAUAAUGAUGCUCUUGGGUUGGUGCCUGGCAUGAUGUUGUGCUUGACAUUUUUGCACUAUCUAAAUAUAGACUCUGCUCUCACAUUCCAUGCCUCUUUGCUUUACUUAUAGAUGUUACUACAGCUCUCAGUCCAUAUUAAUAUACUACAUACUGAAUCUUAACUAGAUAAAUUUAUCUUGUAUGGCUAUAAAAAUAUAAUUUCUGUAAGUGUAAGUGAAAAAGAAUAUCCAUAUUCAAAAGAGAAUAGUCUUUUACCAAUAAAGUUAGACUAUUUAAUAUCAAUAGAGAACAAUUUAUCAACCCAAAUCACCAUAUAAGGUUCCUAAAUAACCGCUCAGUGAUAAAGGAAGUGGGAGUUCAUAGACAACCAGUAAGUUUGCCUAGAAGCAGCAACCUUUUAAAGAGUGCGUAAUAGCUCACCUAUCAAGCGCUCUCGCGCCAAAGAUGAAGGGGGCUAAGCGAUCUGCCGAAGCUGUGAGAUUUUUUUUUUAAGUUUUAUAUCUUAUUAUAUAUUAAACGUAAUAUAAAAAUUAUCGGUAGGGGAGCCUUCCGCUUUAGAGAGAAAUACCUCGCUUAAGCAGGUGGUAGACGAAGCGGAAGUGAGAAUGUUAGCUUGAGUAACGAAAACAUUGGUGAGAAUCCAAUGCCCCGAAAACCUAAGGGUUCCUCCAUAAAGGUCGUCUAGGGAGGGUUAGUCAGGGCCUAAGAUCAUAUCAAAAUGCGCAAUUGGUUAUUGAGGGACGGUGGAGGCUAGGUUAUCCAAAAAUUAUGGUUAUUGGUUUAAAGGGUAAGGAUAAAUUCAUUAAAUAUGGGUCAUAAGGGGUAGAGUAAAUAUCUCGAGCUAAUAUAUGAAUAAUAAGUGCUUUUGUUCUUAAGGCGUAAGUAACUAAUGUCAUCUCCUAGGAAAAGCUAUAAAUAUCUUAAACAAGAAAGGAACCUGUACCCAAAAUCAACACAGGUAGGUAGGUUGAAAAUACCUAGGGGCGCGAGACAACUCUCUCUAAGGAACUCGGCAAAAUAGCCUCAUAACUUCGAGAUAAGGGGUGCCUCUUAAAUAGAAGAGGUCGCAGUGGCCAGGCCCGGACGACUGUUUACCAAAACCAUAGGUCUCCGCAAAGUCGUAAAGACCAUGUAUGGGGGCUGACGCCUGCCCAGUGCCGAAAGGUUAAAGAAGUUAGUGGUCUUGAUUUACAACAGGGUAGCUAGCAACCUAAGCCCCGGUGAACGGCGGCCGUAACUAUAACGGUCAUAAGGUAGUGAAAUUCCUUAUCGGAUAAGUUCCGACCCGCACGAAUGGCGUAACAAUAUGGGCGCUGUCUCAGAGAGGGACUCAGUGAAAUAGACCUGUCUGUGAAGAUGGGGACUACCUGUACCUGAACAGAAAGACCCUAUAAAGCUUUACUGUUCCCUAGGAUUGAUUUUAAGCUUUUCUUGCGCAAAUUAGGUGGAAGGCGACAAAAAUACUUCUUAUGUGAAGGAUCGAGCCAUUAUUAAGAUACCACUCUGGAAGAGCUAGAUUCCUAACCUUGUAUCAUAAAUUAUGGCCAAGGGACAUUCUCAAGUAGACAUUUUAUAUGGAGCGUAGGUCUCCUAAAAAGUAACGGAGGCGCGCAAAAAUUUCUUUGAGCCAGACGGGAAUUGACUUUAUACGUGUGAGGGCACAAAGAAGCUUGACUGCAACACCCACUUGUCAAGCAGGGACGAAAGUCGGCCUUAGUGAUCCGACGGUGCCGAGUGGUAGGGUUAUCGCUCAACGGACAAAAGUUACUCUAGGGAUAACAGGCUGAUCUUCCCCAAAAGUUCACAUCGACGGGAAGGUUUGGCACCUCAAUGUCAGCUCGUCGCCACUUGGGGCUAUAGUAGGUUCCAAGGGUUGGGUUGUUCGCCCAUUAAAGCGGUACAUGAGUUGGGUUCCGAACGUCGUGAGACAGUUCGAACUAUAUCCGGUAUAGGUGUUAGAGCAUUGAGAGGACUUUUCCCUAGUACGAGAUGACCGGGAAGGACGCACCUCUGGUGUACCAAUUAUUGUGCCAUCAGUAAACACUUGGUAAGGCAAGCAAAAUAUGUCUAUAACAAGUAUUUAUCAUACACAUGCAUUAUAACAAGCAUUUAUCAUACACAAGUUAUACUAUAUUAAGAUCAGAUUUCCAAGACUUUUAAUGUCACCAAAGCGAUGUAUAAGCCAUAAAGCCCAAACAUUUUGGACAUUGAAUG